AACAGAUAUUAUCAUUUUCUAUAUAAUAAUUAUUCUAAAAAAAAUGUUAUUCAAUAUGAUGUCCCGCUUUGAUGAUUUUAAAGUCUGGGAACCCUAUACGAGGAGGCUAGCCUUCAGAAGUUACCUAACUGGUAUUGAAUCGAAGUGGAUUGUAUAUAAAUACUAUUUACAUUAUUUACAACAAUUAAUAAUCUUAGUGACUUAACCGAAUAUUUAAAGGAUGUGUAAAUUCAACUGGAAAUGAUUAGAUUUAUACUAAAUCUUUACUGAGUUUAUUCGACUUGAAUAUUGCAAUGAAAGAAAAAAUGAAACGAGGUUAGUAGUUAUAAACUUAUAACUAAAUUCAACUCCACAUUAAGUUCAGAUCGUAAUUGUACAUUCACUACACAUUUUUUUUUACAUAAUUUGAGACGGUGGUAGUAACGUAUUAUAGGUACUGUGUGAUAAUAGAUUAAAUGAUUUAAUGAUAAUAGCCAAGAAAGAUAUUGAUAAUAGUAAUACUGAUAGCACAGUAGCAUUAGCUACUUCCUAGAGCACUGUACUUGUUAUUAUAUGAAAAAAAUUUAAGUUUUAAACCAUUCUAAAAUUUAUAUUUGCAUUGAGUGAUGAAUAAUAUUAUUCUAACUCUUACCAGUAUAGCACCAUUAUAACUUAGUAUGUGAAUGAUUUUCAUGUUAACUAAAAUCAUAAUUUUAAGAUUCCCGUCAUCACUGAAAGCAGAUACUUAACGAUUACAUGGUUCAUCACAAGCAAUAAUAUGUUCCUCAAAACUACAAAAUAUUUGUUUCUUAUCCCUGGAAAAUCACUAAUACGUUUGGAAGAAUGUAAAUAGAACACUGGUAUGGGGAUCCAAGAUCAAAAACAUCAAUAGUUGUCUAUUUCAUAAUAUAAAAAAGAACUACAAUCAUGCCAAGUAUCAAAUUGUGAUACAAGAUGUGUUCAUUAUGAGAGAAUUCCCCCAAUUACUAUGGAUUUAAUUUAUAUUGUUUACCUCCUCAUUAAUUAUAAUAAUAAUUAAAUUUAUACAUAUAUUUAUAUUAUUUUUAACAAUAUUUAAUUUUAAAGAUUAUACAUUCUAAUUAUGUUAUUUAUAGGAAACACAUUUUAUAAUUAUUUCUUGGCAGGUCAAACAUUUAGUAAAUA
Long non-coding RNA from Aphis gossypii (cotton aphid), 1143 nucleotides. RefSeq lists it as uncharacterized. Lineage: Eukaryota; Metazoa; Arthropoda; Insecta; Hemiptera; Aphididae. The transcript is spliced from 3 exons. The record is from RefSeq and is a predicted model, not a curated record.